AGAGAAUGGAGAGGUGACAGAUGCCCUCACCGGCAGGAACGCAGACCCUACGAAGUUUACUGCAUCUAAGGCAUGCCAUCUUUUAAAAGCCAUGGAGGCACAAUACGGACAGUACCAGAGCAGACCAAACCUAAAGCCAGCCAAGCAUGGCAACACUUGGGUCGACCAGAGAAGGUCAUUUUAAGAAAAAGGGCUGCUGAUGUGCUCUUUGAUAGUUUUGCCUCUGGGGGAAGAGUCAACUGCAAUCAGUUUUUUGAGGUCCUGUGGAGCUCAGGAAUCAUCCGAACAGACCCCCGGAUUAAGGACUGCAACGGCCUGAUGCGGAAAUUACAGGAAGCAGAUGGAACUGUUGACAGGAACACUUUUCACAGGCCAGACUGAAUCUUGACACCAGUAGUCAAAUUUAAAGCAUCUUAAAUAUAAAUAUUAAACACCCCAAUCUUUAAUGCUGCUAAUAUGCUUCAUUUGUGAACAUCUUGCAGGUGCGUGACUGGCUUUGUGUCUUUCAUCCUGAAGGCAUUUGCAGGGAAGAUUUGUCAUUCCAGAUUUCUCUACUUUCACAGAGGAAACACAAAAGCUGUUUAUUAAAUGCAAACAACUCUCCUCUGUGAAGGAGAAAGAAGACGUGAGAGAGGGUGGCAAGAAAUGGGGCAUUUCAGUUUGUACCGAGGAUUGACAGAGGUGCCACACAACAGUUCAAUUCGAUUGAUUUGAUCUUCAGCAGGGGGUCUCUUCAUCCUUAGGGGGUCCGCAGUGGCACUGUGGGGCAUCUGCCAAUUAUUGUUUAAUCUCAAACAAAUUUUUGUGAAAACAAGACAAUAUAUAUAAAAUAAUAAUAAUAAUAAUAAAAUAGAAUAAUAAAAUAGAAUCUAAAGAA
This is a long non-coding RNA of Carassius gibelio (silver crucian carp), 877 nucleotides long. RefSeq lists it as uncharacterized. NCBI's taxonomy places the organism in Eukaryota, Metazoa, Chordata, Actinopteri, Cypriniformes, Cyprinidae. The transcript is spliced from 5 exons. The record is from RefSeq and is a predicted model, not a curated record.